Molecule: transfer RNA, 78 nt
Filed under: Acidobacteriota bacterium
Lineage: Bacteria; Pseudomonadati; Acidobacteriota
Description: Acidobacteria bacterium (wastewater metagenome) tRNA-Pro
Rfam family: tRNA
About the family: Transfer RNA (tRNA) molecules are approximately 80 nucleotides in length. Their secondary structure includes four short double-helical elements and three loops (D, anti-codon, and T loops).
Source: RNAcentral
CGGGACAUAGCGCAGUCUGGUUAGCGCGCCUGCCUUGGGAGCAGGAAGUCGCAGGUUCGAAUCCUGCUGUCCCGACCA